GCGUCUGUAGCUCAGCUGGAUAGAGUAUUUGACUACGAAUCAAAGGGCCGGGGGUUCGAAUCCCUCCAGAUGCG
RNAcentral lists this transfer RNA (74 nucleotides) under Spirochaetota bacterium. RNAcentral describes it as "Spirochaetes bacterium (freshwater sediment metagenome) tRNA-Arg". It matches the Rfam family "tRNA". Rfam says of the family: Transfer RNA (tRNA) molecules are approximately 80 nucleotides in length. Their secondary structure includes four short double-helical elements and three loops (D, anti-codon, and T loops). The record is from RNAcentral. Lineage: Bacteria; Pseudomonadati; Spirochaetota.